Non-coding RNA from Sturnus vulgaris (Common starling), 84 nucleotides. Lineage: Eukaryota; Metazoa; Chordata; Aves; Passeriformes; Sturnidae. The record is from RefSeq and is a predicted model, not a curated record.
UUUGAAAUUACAGGGCUUUCAGGCAAAGAUGUGAGAAAAGGAAUAACUGUUCUUUACUAGUGUGUCUCUGUAUAAUGAGGGAAA